AACGCGAAGAACCUUACCAGCCCUUGACAUGUCCAGGACCGGUCGCAGAGAUGUGACCUUCCCUUCGGAGCCUGGAACACAGGUGCUGCAUGGCUGUCGUCAGCUCGUGUCGUGAGAUGUUGGGUUAAGUCCCGCAACGAGCGCAACCCCCGUCCUUAGUUGCUACCAUUUAGUUGAGCACUCUAAGGAGACUGCCGGUGAUAAAGCCGCGAGGAAGGUGGGGAUGACGUCAAGUCCUCAUGGCCCUUACGGGCUGGGCUACACGCGUGCUACAAUGGCGGUGACAAUGGGAUGCUAAGGGGCGACCCUUCGCAAAUCUCAAAAAGCCGUCUCAGUUCGGAUUGGGCUCUGCAACUCGAGCCCAUGAAGUUGGAAUCGCUAGUAAUCGUGGAUCAGCACGCCACGGUGAAUACGUUCCCGGGCCUUGUACACACCG
RNAcentral lists this ribosomal RNA (436 nucleotides) under uncultured Bradyrhizobium sp. Its description in RNAcentral is "bacterial SSU rRNA". It matches the Rfam family "Bacterial small subunit ribosomal RNA", at positions 958 to 1392 of the family's 1533-position model. The record is from RNAcentral. Lineage: Bacteria; Pseudomonadati; Pseudomonadota; Alphaproteobacteria; Hyphomicrobiales; Nitrobacteraceae.